GACGAACGCUGGCGGCGUGCCUAAUACAUGCAAGUAGGACGCAGUUGCGAACGGGUGAGUAACGCGUAGGUAACUACCUAUUAGAGGGGGAUAACUAUUGGAAACGAUAGCUAAUACCGCAUACUAGUAGAUGGACCUGCUUGGUAUUAGCUAGUAGGUAGGGUAAUGGCCUACCUAGGCAACGAUACAUAGCCGACUGGGUAUGGAGGUCGGGCAAACUGGGAAUGAGAAACGGGCCAGAACUCUAAGGGAGGGAAGAGUAGGGAAUCUGCGGCAAUGGGGGGAACCCUGACCGAGGAAAGCCGCGUGAGAGGAGAAGGUUUUCGGAGUGUAAAGCUCUGUUGUUAAGGAAGCGUUACUUACACAGAAAGGGACGGCUAACUACGUGCCAGCAGCCGCGGUAAUAC
RNAcentral lists this ribosomal RNA (407 nucleotides) under uncultured bacterium. Its description in RNAcentral is "partial 16S ribosomal RNA". It matches the Rfam family "Bacterial small subunit ribosomal RNA", at positions 28 to 526 of the family's 1533-position model. The record is from RNAcentral.